AUGAUCAGCCAGCCCCUGACUCAUCUCCUGCGUAAAAAUAUUCCAUUUGUGUGGUCUUCUGAAGCUCAGUCUGCAUUUGAUCAACUGAAGCGAGCCCUCACAACAACACCUGUAGUGUCACUCCCUAAUUUUCAGAAACAGAUCGUAAUUGACACUGACGCUUGCGAUACCGAAGUGGGUGCGGUACUACUUUAG
RNAcentral lists this ribosomal RNA (195 nucleotides) under Triticum aestivum (bread wheat). RNAcentral describes it as "partial small subunit ribosomal RNA". Lineage: Eukaryota; Viridiplantae; Streptophyta; Magnoliopsida; Poales; Poaceae. The record is from RNAcentral.